GCCGGCCCUAGACGUAACUGUUUAUCUGAACGAUAUAACUGAUCAGAUAAAUCGUUAAGAUAAAACUGACGUGUAGGGGGAAAUUUGCGCAGAUUUUGAUCGUUUCAGAUGAACUGAUCGAGCGGCAUGAACAGUUGAAUCAUUCAAACUUUUUAUCUGAACGAUCUAAUGAUUGUUUUCCUUUCAGAUGAAAAUCUCACGUGUAGGGGGGAAAACUGUACAGAUUAUCAGUCUAUUUGUGACUUAAAUAAAGUGUGCACGCCUUUUCCAGCUUUUCACAAAUACUUCAUUAUGAAUCGCAAAACAUUGGAGGAGUUUAUUGAAAUUUACCAAACCGAAGAGUGUUUAUGGAAAGUUAAGUGCAAAGAGUAUCAUAACCGUGACAAAAGAAACGCAGCAUAUGGAAAAUUAAUUCAAAAGUUAAGAGAAACAACACCUGAUGCUGACCGUGAUAUGGUUGUCAAAAAAAUCAAUAACUUACGCACCACAUAUAGAAAAGAGUUGAAGAAAGUGCAGGCUUCCAAGAAAUCUGGAGCAGGAGCAUAUGAUGUUUAUGUUCCAAAACUGUGGUAUUUUGAAAAUCUUGCCUUUCUACACGAUCAAGAAACACCACGAGAAGGUCUUACUAAUAUUGAGGAAAAUGAAAGUGAGAAUUCAUGCCAUGAUGUUGAGCCUGUGCCUGUGUCCAGCCCCUCAUCUGAUGUAAAUGAACUAGAAGUUGCUACUGAAGGAAAUUCUAUGCUUGACAUCAGCUACCCAUUACAUGUCAGCCGGUCGUCAACUCCUUUACCAACAAAUAGUACAACAACUAAUGUGGCACCGUCCAGACCUACCCAAAAGAAAUGUAGAACGGCCAUGAGUGAUGAUGUGCUGAUGACUAUCAAUGAACACUUUAAAAAACCAAGGGAGCAAAAAAUAGAAGAUAAGCAUGACGUAUUUGGGAAGAAUGUUGCACACAAGUUACGUGGAUUGGACAAUUUACAGAGGAUAAUGGCUGAAAAAAUCAUAAAUGAUGCUCUGUUCGAAGCAGAAAUGGGAAAUCUUACCCAUCAUCAUAAACUUUUGCCUGUACCAGUAACAAACACGCAGUUUCCAAUUCAGCACAACGUAUUUCCGCAACCCUCUGCCACACCCAGAACAGUACCUCACACCAUGCCUCACACAAGCCUUCACUUGCCCUCACUUUCUUCGACAAUGGACCCUUUAGCUCAGGCAAUUAGUGUAUUGAACGAAAUCCCUUAGUUAUUAUAUUAGUGAUACAUAAUUAUUGGAAACUGGCAUACAAGUAUUCUGUUUGAUAUUUGUUUUGGAUAAUUGUAUUAUGUAUUUCUGGUACAAAAAUACCGUACACGUACAUAAAGGAUAGAAAAAUACUGGUUACGUUCUAUUUUUUGUUACCAUUGUUGUGAUUGUGUUAUGUACCAACAUAUUUCUCAUACUUAUUAAAUACUUACCUUCAAA
Long non-coding RNA from Scylla paramamosain (green mud crab), 1461 nucleotides. RefSeq lists it as uncharacterized. Lineage: Eukaryota; Metazoa; Arthropoda; Malacostraca; Decapoda; Portunidae. The record is from RefSeq and is a predicted model, not a curated record. The transcript has 2 exons.